AUUGAACGCUGGCGGGAGGCUUAACAAAUGCAAGUCGAGAGGAGCGGCGGACGGAUGAGUAAGGCCUAGGAAUUUGCCUGGUAGUGCAGGAUAAUGUCAGGAACUGCGCGCUAAUACCGCAUAAUAUCAGAUUCGCCUCGGUCGUAUUGGCUAGUUGGUGGGGUAAAGGCCUAAAAAGGCGACGAUCCGUAACUGGUCUGAGAGGAUGAUCAGUCACACUGGAAAUGAGACACGGUCCAGACUCCUACGGGAGGCAGCAGGGGGGAAUAUUGGACAAUGGGCGAAAGCCUGAUCCAGCCAUGCCGCGUGUGUGAAGAAGGUCUUCGGAUUGUAAAGCACUUUAAGUUGGGAGGCGUUACCAACAGAAUAAGCACCGGCUAACUUCGUGCCAGCAGCCGCGGUAAUUC
RNAcentral lists this ribosomal RNA (407 nucleotides) under uncultured bacterium. Its description in RNAcentral is "partial 16S ribosomal RNA". It matches the Rfam family "Bacterial small subunit ribosomal RNA", at positions 30 to 526 of the family's 1533-position model. The record is from RNAcentral.